RNAcentral lists this ribosomal RNA (765 nucleotides) under uncultured Streptococcus sp. RNAcentral describes it as "bacterial SSU rRNA". It matches the Rfam family "Bacterial small subunit ribosomal RNA", at positions 28 to 776 of the family's 1533-position model. Lineage: Bacteria; Bacillati; Bacillota; Bacilli; Lactobacillales; Streptococcaceae. The record is from RNAcentral.
GACGAACGCUGGCAGCGUGCCUAAUACAUGCAAGUAGAACGCUGAAGAGAGGAGCUUGCUCUUCUUGGAUGAGUUGCGAACGGGUGAGUAACGCGUAGGUAACCUGCCUUGUAGCGGGGGAUAACUAUUGGAAACGAUAGCUAAUACCGCAUAACAAUGGAUGACACAUGUCAUUUAUUUGAAAGGGGCAAUUGCUCCACUACAAGAUGGACCUGCGUUGUAUUAGCUAGUAGGUGAGGUAACGGCUCACCUAGGCGACGAUACAUAGCCGACCUGAGAGGGUGAUCGGCCACACUGGGACUGAGACACGGCCCAGACUCCUACGGGAGGCAGCAGUAGGGAAUCUUCGGCAAUGGGGGCAACCCUGACCGAGCAACGCCGCGUGAGUGAAGAAGGUUUUCGGAUCGUAAAGCUCUGUUGUAAGUCAAGAACGAGUGUGAGAGUGGAAAGUUCACACUGUGACGGUAGCUUACCAGAAAGGGACGGCUAACUACGUGCCAGCAGCCGCGGUAAUACGUAGGUCCCGAGCGUUGUCCGGAUUUAUUGGGCGUAAAGCGAGCGCAGGCGGUUUGAUAAGUCUGAAGUUAAAGGCUGUGGCUCAACCAUAGUUCGCUUUGGAAACUGUCAAACUUGAGUGCAGAAGGGGAGAGUGGAAUUCCAUGUGUAGCGGUGAAAUGCGUAGAUAUAUGGAGGAACACCGGUGGCGAAAGCGGCUCUCUGGUCUGUAACUGACGCUGAGGCUCGAAAGCGUGGGGAGCGAACAGG